Hevea brasiliensis (rubber tree) is the source of this 852-nucleotide long non-coding RNA. RefSeq lists it as uncharacterized. NCBI's taxonomy places the organism in Eukaryota, Viridiplantae, Streptophyta, Magnoliopsida, Malpighiales, Euphorbiaceae. The record is from RefSeq and is a predicted model, not a curated record. The transcript has 2 exons.
UUGAUUGCUAAAUUUGUGUUCUAUUUGUCCUAAUUGUGAAGUGAUUUAUUCCAGAAUUUGUUGAAUAAUUGACAUGUGGGAUGGAGAAAACUGGUUUUAACACAAGGAUGGAUGACAAAUUUUAAUAAAUGAUUCAAUUGUGUAAUUCCCGCUGUCAGUUGCAAAACCAUGCAAUCAUUUGCCAAAUCUCAGCUCAUUGUGUUCAAUUCUGGUCUGAUCCUCCAAAUGAGAUAUUGAGUUUCCUCACGGCAGAUGCAGUGGUAGUGACUCUAUGUUAACUCAGGUUUAGAGCCUGUUCGUUUGUCUAUAAUUGAGUUUCCUCACAGAAGAUGCACUCUAAUUUGGUCUCUUUGGAAAAACAGGAGCGAAGCGCUUUGGAAUUCUAAUCAGAUUACAAGCUAUGCUUCCUCCUUCCUUCAUCAGUGAUUAGCUGCCCAAGUUAGUGACCAUCCAUCCUAUUUUGACUACUCUUCGACAGUUUCUGUGGUUGAUUUGUUGAAAUGGCACAAGCCUGCUUCGGGAUUCUUGAAAUGCAAUACAGAUGCUUCCUCCCGUCUGCAUCAUAACAAAAUUGAGCAAGUUGGGUUCUUUGUGAUUGGAGAGGACAGCUGAUUAAGGCUUGCUAAAUUGAGCUGCUUGGUCCACCUGAUCCGAAAAUCACUGAAGCUCUCUCUCUCCAAGAAGCUCUUAGCUUGAUUGAUGGAAGGGGCAUGUGAAAGAACGGAAGCGUGAAAAACACAAGUUUAUACCAUUGAAUUCAAAAUUUUUCACCUAGGAUCACAUGCAUCAUGCAAGAUUUAUUUUUAUCUAUUUGAUUUCAAUGAUAAACAACAUAUUAAAACUCUUUUAAUA